GCACCCUUAGCUCAGUUGGUAGAGCAUAUGACUCUUAAUCAUCAGGUCGCGGGUUCGAGUCCCGCAGGGUGCACCA
Molecule: transfer RNA, 76 nt
Filed under: Ignavibacteriales bacterium
Lineage: Bacteria; Pseudomonadati; Ignavibacteriota; Ignavibacteria; Ignavibacteriales
Also listed under: 1 other name
Description: tRNA-Lys
Rfam family: tRNA
About the family: Transfer RNA (tRNA) molecules are approximately 80 nucleotides in length. Their secondary structure includes four short double-helical elements and three loops (D, anti-codon, and T loops).
Source: RNAcentral